AGUGAACGCUGGCGGUAGGCCUAACACAUGCAAGUCGAACGGCAGCACAGUAAGAGCUUGCUCUUACGGGUGGCGAGUGGCGGACGGGUGAGGAAUACAUCGGAAUCUACUUUUUCGUGGGGGAUAACGUAGGGAAACUUACGCUAAUACCGCAUACGACCUACGGGUGAAAGCAGGGGAUCUUCGGACCUUGCGCGAUUGAAUGAGCCGAUGUCGGAUUAGCUAGUUGGCGGGGUAAAGGCCCACCAAGGCGACGAUCCGUAGCUGGUCUGAGAGGAUGAUCAGCGACACUGGAACUGAGACACGGUCCAGACUACUACGGGAGGCAGCAGUGGGGAAUAUUGGACAAUGGGCGCAAGCCUGAACCAGCCAGACCGCGUGGGUGAAGAAGGCCUUCGGGUUGUAAAGCCCUUUUGUUGGGAAAGAAAAGCAGCAGGUUAAUACCCCGCUGUUCUGACGGUACCCAAAGAAUAAGCACCGGCUAACUUCGUG
Molecule: ribosomal RNA, 492 nt
Filed under: uncultured bacterium
Lineage: Bacteria
Description: partial 16S ribosomal RNA
Rfam family: Bacterial small subunit ribosomal RNA
Source: RNAcentral